CCUACGGGUGGCAGCAGUGGGGAAUAUUGCACAAUGGGGGAAACCCUGAUGCAGCGACGCCGCGUGAAGGAAGAAGUAUUUAGGUAUGUAAACUUCUAUCAGCAGGGAAGUAAAUGACGGUACCUGUCUCAGUCGCCCCGGCUAACUACGUGCCAGCUGCCGUGGUAAUACGGAGGGGGCAAGCGUUAUCCGGAUUUACUGGGUGUAAAGGGAGCGUAGGCGGUUUAGCAAGUCAGAAGUGAAAGCCCGGGGCUCAACUCCGGGACUGCUUUUGAAACUGUUGAACUAGAGUGCAGGAGAGGUAAGUGGAAUGCCUAGUGUAGCGGUGAAAUGCUUAGAGAUUAGGCAGAACACCAGUGGCGAAGGCGGCUUACCAGACU
Molecule: ribosomal RNA, 380 nt
Filed under: uncultured bacterium
Lineage: Bacteria
Description: partial 16S ribosomal RNA
Rfam family: Bacterial small subunit ribosomal RNA
Source: RNAcentral